AUUGAACGCUGGCGGCAUGCUUUACACACGCAAGUCGAACGGUAACAGGUUAAGCUGACGAGUGGCGAACGGGUGAGUAAUGCAUCGGAACGUGCCCGGUCGUGGGGGAUAACUCAGCGAAAGCUGCGCUAAUACCGCAUACGAUCUAAGGAUGAAAGCGGGGGACCGUAAGGCCUCGCGCGAUCGGAGCGGCCGAUGUCAGAUUAGGUAGUUGGUGGGGUAAAGGCUCACCAAGCCAACGAUCUGUAGCUGGUCUGAGAGGACGACCAGCCACACUGGGACUGAGACACGGCCCAGACUCCUACGGGAGGCAGCAGUGGGGAAUUUUGGACAAUGGGCGAAAGCCUGAUCCAGCAAUGCCGCGUGCAGGAAGAAGGCCUUCGGGUUGUAAACUGCUUUUGUACGGAGCGAAAAGGUCUCCUCUAAUACAGGGGGCUCAUGACGGUACCGUAAGAAUAAGCACCGGCUAACUACGUGCCAGCAGCCGCAGUAA
RNAcentral lists this ribosomal RNA (493 nucleotides) under uncultured bacterium. RNAcentral describes it as "partial 16S ribosomal RNA". It matches the Rfam family "Bacterial small subunit ribosomal RNA", at positions 30 to 523 of the family's 1533-position model. The record is from RNAcentral.